UUGGUACCUUUUCAAGGACAGCUAGAUUGU
RNAcentral lists this non-coding RNA (30 nucleotides) under Rattus norvegicus (Norway rat). The record is from RNAcentral. Lineage: Eukaryota; Metazoa; Chordata; Mammalia; Rodentia; Muridae.